Molecule: transfer RNA, 69 nt
Filed under: Marmota monax (woodchuck)
Lineage: Eukaryota; Metazoa; Chordata; Mammalia; Rodentia; Sciuridae
Description: tRNA.Ala
Source: RNAcentral
GGUUUGUGGCUCAGUGGUAGAGCACUUGCCCAGCAUGGGUGAAACACUUGAGUUCAAUUCUCAGCACCA